GUUCCAGAACGCAACCUGUUCACAAUCUGGGGACUGCCUGAAACUUCCAAUGAGGUUGAAUUGCCUGUGAACACUGGUUUAAAUACAGAAUCACUGAAUCGUUACAGCAUUUGAAGAGGUCAUUUGGCUAUCAUGGACACAACAGUCUGGCUGAAGAAACAAAGGUGUUGGACAGGUUGAUGAUCAAGGCUGCUUUGUCCUGGAUCAUGUUGAAUUUCUUGAUUGCUGUUGGAGCUAUUCUCACUGACACAUGGAAAAUAUUACAUCAAAAUACAUAUUUAGCACUUGCAGAUAGUGGAAAGAUUUUGGAAGAUCACAGGGUGGAGCAGCUUGAAAUCUGUCAAGUUUCUAUGUGUGUUCCCGCAUUCCAGAGUUAAACACAAGAGGUACUGGGAACUCUUGAACUAGAUUCAAGCACCACCUGUUGUUAAAAUCAACCUUUGUUCAGAUCGCAGAAGGAGCAUUCGUCAUCUUGGUGGCAGAAGCAGCUGUACUAUAACAAGCAGGAAGCAGAGGAGGGGUCUUUCAGCCUCUGCAGAGUUGUUAGAACAACUGUUUCAACUGCCAAGGCCACCUCCGAGAAACGAAACCAUCACUACCCAGAAGGGAGAACAAAACAGUACAACGUGCCAAUGAGAUGUCCUGGUCUGAUUUGUCCUGUAUAUCUCAACGUAGUGCUCCAGUAUGACCAGUACAUUAAUUUCCAAGUAUUA
This is a long non-coding RNA of Rhincodon typus (whale shark), 713 nucleotides long. RefSeq lists it as uncharacterized. The transcript is spliced from 3 exons. The record is from RefSeq and is a predicted model, not a curated record. NCBI's taxonomy places the organism in Eukaryota, Metazoa, Chordata, Chondrichthyes, Orectolobiformes, Rhincodontidae.